RNAcentral lists this long non-coding RNA (284 nucleotides) under Mytilus galloprovincialis (Mediterranean mussel). The record is from RNAcentral. Lineage: Eukaryota; Metazoa; Mollusca; Bivalvia; Mytilida; Mytilidae.
AAAUAAAGCAUGACCAUUUAUGAUUUAAGUGGGGUCCUUAAUAUGGGCUACAAAGUUAUUAAUAGAUGUAAUUGUUAUGCCUCUUUUUUCUUUUUUCUUUCUAUAAUGUGUGUGGCUCAGAUCUGGCUGUGGUUUAACAUCUAAGAACUGAGAUGGUUAUAUUCAUAUUUAUAUAUGAUUUAUAUCAACAUUUAAUAUUGUGUCAAUUAUAAAAAUCAUUGAAAUAAAUUACUUUGCUUUUCAUGGACCCUUUAAUUGAAAUAAAAAUAUCUGAUCUGAUCUUA